This 467-nucleotide ribosomal RNA is filed under the name uncultured bacterium. RNAcentral describes it as "partial 16S ribosomal RNA". It matches the Rfam family "Bacterial small subunit ribosomal RNA", at positions 28 to 507 of the family's 1533-position model. The record is from RNAcentral.
GACGAACGCUGGCGGCGUGCUUAACACAUGCAAGUCGAACGGAAAGGCCUCUUUCGGGGGGUACUCGAGUGGCGAACGGGUGAGUAACACGUGAGUAACCUGCCCUUGACUUUGGGAUAACUUCAGGAAACUGGGGCUAAUACCGGAUAGGAGCUCCUGCUGCAUGGUGGGGGUUGGAAAGUUUCGGCGGUUGGGGAUGGACUCGCGGCUUAUCAGCUUGUUGGUGGGGUAGUGGCUUACCAAGGCUUUGACGGGUAGCCGGCCUGAGGGGGUGACCGGCCACAUUGGGACUGAGAUACGGCCCAGACUCCUACGGGAGGCAGCGGUGGGGAAUAUUGCACAAUGGGUGGAAGCCUGAUGCAGCAACGCCGUGUGCGGGAUGACGGCCUUCGGGUUGUAAACCGCUUUCGCUCAUGACGAAGCUUUGUGUGACGGUAGUGGGUAAAGAAGCACCGGCUAACUACGUG